This is a non-coding RNA of Macaca mulatta (Rhesus monkey), 1494 nucleotides long. NCBI's taxonomy places the organism in Eukaryota, Metazoa, Chordata, Mammalia, Primates, Cercopithecidae. The record is from RefSeq and is a predicted model, not a curated record.
CUGGUGAGGGAAGGAGAAAUGAGAAACUGGGCACAUCAAUAAGGCCGUUUGGACUUCCUCACAGCAUGCUGCAUGAUGACUGCAAAAUCAAGCAUUCUAAGAGAACAAAGGAGAGGAUUUAGGCCAAAAUGCAUGACAUUGUUAUGACCUAGCUUGAGAAGUAAUAUACUUUCACUUGUGUCAGAUUCGAUUGGUCUGCUCAGGUUCAAGAGGAGUGGACAGAGAUUUAUAUCUUGAGUCGCUGCUGAAGAUUUUGGAGAUUUUGAUCAAGGAAGAUUUUGGGCUUUUGGCAAGUUGGGAUUCUGAGUCGGGUAAGAGUUCCUCAGGGAGCCAUGAAGGGAGGACUUCUGGUGGAGGACUGUAUCACACAGAGAUACUUACAAGUCAUUGCUCUGGGGUUUAGUUAAAAGAAAUACAGAUCCUAAUGUUAUGAAUGUAUAAUGUUUGUUCUGCAAAGGAUUCUAGAAAGCCUCAACUCCUUUAAAACUCAAACAUAACUCAGGGUGGUAGCUGAUAUGCCAAAUUUUAGUGGGCAUAAUUUGAAAUGGAUGAGAAAUUAUCACAGGUGUUAACAGGUCCAAAUGCAGUGCAGUAGUAAAGCACCAAAGAGCUCACAAAGGACUUGAAAGAUGCUUGAUGUAGCAUGUUGAUGGCUGCCAAAUAGCAUCUGUCCUCAAAACUGCCUGACCAGGAAACGUUAUGCCAAAUUUGAAAGCUUAUGAAUGUUAGUCAAAGAAAAAGCCUUGCAUACUGCAUUUUAUUUGCAAUUAUGCAGAACCACAGAUUUAUAUUAUAACUAAUUAAUUUUUGAUCAAGGACAUCUGCCUCAGUAAAAACAAAGGAGCAUAAAGAAGUCAUAGAUCUUAAAACUUUUUUCAAUUUAACAAUCCUUGAGGGCAAAAAUCAGGUUCAAGACAUAACUUAUUUUUAUUGUUAUGAAACCCAGCCUUCAUUACUCUGCUGAUGCACUUACAGAGGAAACUUUAUGACCAUCACAGGUAUCUUUAUAGGAAGCAGAUCAUUUUCUUAAAGAAAAAUGUUGAUGACUUUGGCUGCUCUAAGCUUCAGUGGUCUCUGUCCACAGGCUGCAGCACUGGAAAUCUUCAGUUAGUCACCCUGCCACACCUAGCACCAAGACUCUUCCCCAGGAACUCACUCCCCCUCACUAUAUCUGGUGGUCACACCCCUCCUCCUCCCACAAGAAAGGCCAGGAAUUAGUGUUUUAGCAUUUGCUAUCUCCAUUCUCCUACAGCUUCCAGACACUUCUGAAUUUCUGUCUUCUCUUAGUCUUGGUAGAACUCAUUGCACUAGUGAGGUCUUGCCAAGCUGCUGAGUGGGGUGGUUUCAUCUUUUUUGUUAAUUUGUUUUUUGUCUUCUGUAAAAUAAAGACAACAAAUAGUGCUUUUCUUAUAAGGUUGUCGUGAAUAUUAAAUUUAUAUUGUGCUAGGCACAAUCCAUGGUACAUGGUAAACAUUCAAGAAGUUAUUAUUAUUA